UGGGGAAUAUUGCACAAUGGAGGGAACUCUGAUGCAGCGACGCCGCGUGAACGAAGAAGGCUUUCGAGUCGUAAAGUUCUUUUAUAUGGGAAGAUAAUGACGGUACCAUAAGAAAAAGCCCCGGCUAACUACGUGCCAGCAGCCGCGGUAAUACGUAGGGGGCUAGCGUUGUCCGGAAUCACGGGGCGUAAAGGGUUCGCAGGCGGAAAUGCAAGUCAGGUGUAAAAGGCAGUAGCUUAACUACUGUAAGCAUUUGAAACUGCAGAUCUUGAGAAGAGUAGAGGUAAGUGGAAUUUUUAGUGUAGCGGUGAAAUGCGUAGAUAUUAAAAAGAAUACCGGUGGCGAAGGCGACUUACUGGGCUCAUUCUGACGCUGAGGAACGAAAGCGUGGGUAGCAAACAGG
RNAcentral lists this ribosomal RNA (403 nucleotides) under Verrucomicrobiota bacterium. Its description in RNAcentral is "Verrucomicrobia bacterium partial 16S ribosomal RNA". It matches the Rfam family "Bacterial small subunit ribosomal RNA", at positions 355 to 776 of the family's 1533-position model. The record is from RNAcentral. Lineage: Bacteria; Pseudomonadati; Verrucomicrobiota.